This 466-nucleotide ribosomal RNA is filed under the name uncultured bacterium. RNAcentral describes it as "bacterial SSU rRNA". It matches the Rfam family "Bacterial small subunit ribosomal RNA", at positions 338 to 795 of the family's 1533-position model. The record is from RNAcentral.
CCUACGGGACGCACCAGUGGGGAAUAUUGCACAAUGGGCGCAAGCCUGAUGCAGCCAUGCCGCGUGUAUGAAGAAGGCCUUCGGGUUGUAAAGUACUUUCAGCGGGGAGGAAGGUGUUGAGGUUAAUAACCUCAGCAAUUGACGUUACCCGCAGAAUGAAGCACCGGCUAACUCCGUGCCAGCAGCCGCGGUAAUACGGAGGGUGCAAGCGUUAAUCGGAAUUACUGGGCGUAAAGCGCACGCAGGUAGUCUGUCAAGUCGGAUGUGAAAUCCCCGGGCUCAACCUGGGAACUGCAUUCGAAACUGGCAGGCUAGAGUCUUGUAGAGGGGGGUAGAAUUCCAGGUGUAGCGGUGAAAUGCGUAGAGAUCUGGAGGAACACCAGUGGCGAAGGCGGCCUGCUGGACAUUAACUGACGCUGAGGAGCGAAAGCGUGGGGAGCAAACAGGAUUAGAUACCCGGGUAGUC